Molecule: ribosomal RNA, 305 nt
Filed under: uncultured bacterium
Lineage: Bacteria
Description: bacterial SSU rRNA
Rfam family: Bacterial small subunit ribosomal RNA
Source: RNAcentral
CUCCUCCUACGGGGCGCAGCAGUAGGGAAUCUUCCACAAUGGGCGAAAGCCUGAUGGAGCAACGCCGCGUGGGUGAAGAAGGUCUUCGGAUCGUAAAGCCCUGUUGUUAGAGAAGAAAGUGCGUGAGAGUAACUGUUCACGUUUCGACGGUAUCUAACCAGAAAGCCACGGCUAACUACGUGCCAACAGCCGCGGUAAUACGUAGGUGGCAAGCGUUAUUCGGAUUUAUUGGGCGUAAAGGGAACGCAGGCGGUCUUUUAAGUCUGAUGUGAAAGCCUUCGGCUUAACCGGAGUAGUGCAUUGGG